RNAcentral lists this ribosomal RNA (588 nucleotides) under Candida albicans. Its description in RNAcentral is "eukaryotic LSU rRNA". It matches the Rfam family "Eukaryotic large subunit ribosomal RNA", at positions 70 to 664 of the family's 3401-position model. The record is from RNAcentral. Lineage: Eukaryota; Fungi; Ascomycota; Pichiomycetes; Serinales; Debaryomycetaceae.
CUGGGUUGCCUCAGUAGCGGCGAGUGAAGCGGCAAAAGCUCAAAUUUGAAAUCUGGCGUCUUUGGCGUCCGAGUUGUAAUUUGAAGAAGGUAUCUUUGGGCCCGGCUCUUGUCUAUGUUCCUUGGAACAGGACGUCACAGAGGGUGAGAAUCCCGUGCGAUGAGAUGACCCGGGUCUGUGUAAAGUUCCUUCGACGAGUCGAGUUGUUUGGGAAUGCAGCUCUAAGUGGGUGGUAAAUUCCAUCUAAAGCUAAAUAUUGGCGAGAGACCGAUAGCGAACAAGUACAGUGAUGGAAAGAUGAAAAGAACUUUGAAAAGAGAGUGAAAAAGUACGUGAAAUUGUUGAAAGGGAAGGGCUUGAGAUCAGACUUGGUAUUUUGCAUGCUGCUCUCUCGGGGGCGGCCGCUGCGGUUUACCGGGCCAGCAUCGGUUUGGAGCGGCAGGAUAAUGGCGGAGGAAUGUGGCACGGCUUCUGCUGUGUGUUAUAGCCUCUGACGAUACUGCCAGCCUAGACCGAGGACUGCGGUUUUUACCUAGGAUGUUGGCAUAAUGAUCUUAAGUCGCCCGUCUUGAUUCGGGACACCAAUUG